CAGCAGCCGCGGUAACACGUAGGGUGCGAGCGUUAAUCGGAAUUACUGGGCGUAAAGCGUGCGCAGGCGGUUAUAUAAGACAGACGUGAAAUCCCCGGGCUCAACCUGGGACCUGCAUUUGUGACUGUAUAGCUAGAGUACGGUAGAGGGGGAUGGAAUUCCGCGUGUAGCAGUGAAAUGCGUAGAUAUGCGGAGGAACACCGAUGGCGAAGGCAAUCCCCUGGACCUGUACUGACGCUCAUGCACGAAAGCGUGGGGAGCAAACAGGACUAGAUACCCCCGUAGUCCCUGUCUCUUAUAA
This 301-nucleotide ribosomal RNA is filed under the name uncultured bacterium. RNAcentral's name for it is "partial 16S ribosomal RNA". It matches the Rfam family "Bacterial small subunit ribosomal RNA", at positions 509 to 809 of the family's 1533-position model. The record is from RNAcentral.